This 412-nucleotide ribosomal RNA is filed under the name uncultured bacterium. RNAcentral's name for it is "bacterial SSU rRNA". It matches the Rfam family "Bacterial small subunit ribosomal RNA", at positions 481 to 892 of the family's 1533-position model. The record is from RNAcentral.
ACAGAAUAAGCUCCGGCUAACUUCGUGCCAGCAGCCGCGGUAAUACGAAGGGAGCUAGCGUUGUUCGGAAUUACUGGGCGUAAAGGGCGCGUAGGCGGUUUGGUAAGUUGGGUGUGAAAGCCCAGGGCUCAACCCUGGAACUGCACUCAAGACUAUCAGACUUGAAUUCGGUAGAGGUUGGUGGAAUUCCCAGUGUAGAGGUGAAAUUCGUAGAUAUUGGGAAGAAUAUCCGUGGCGAAGGCGGCCAACUGGACCGACAUUGACGCUGAGGCGCGAAAGCGUGGGGAUCAAACAGGAUUAGAUACCCUGGUAGUCCACGCUGUAAACGAUGCAUGCUAGACGUUGGAAACUUCAGGUUUCUUGUGUCGCAGCUAACGCACUAAGCAUGCCGCCUGGGGAGUACGGCCGCAAG